This 425-nucleotide ribosomal RNA is filed under the name uncultured bacterium. Its description in RNAcentral is "partial 16S ribosomal RNA". It matches the Rfam family "Bacterial small subunit ribosomal RNA", at positions 354 to 796 of the family's 1533-position model. The record is from RNAcentral.
GUGGGGAAUCUUAGACAAUGGGGGAAACCCUGAUCUAGCCAUGCCGCGUGAGCGAUGAAGGCCUUAGGGUUGUAAAGCUCUUUCAGCUGGGAAGAUAAUGACGGUACCAGCAGAAGAAGCCCCGGCUAACUCCGUGCCAGCAGCCGCGGUAAUACGGAGGGGGCUAGCGUUGUUCGGAAUUACUGGGCGUAAAGCGCGCGUAGGCGGACCAGAAAGUUGGAGGUGAAAUCCCAGGGCUCAACCUUGGAACUGCCUUCAAAACUCCUGGUCUGGAGUUCGAGAGAGGUGAGUGGAAUUCCGAGUGUAGAGGUGAAAUUCGUAGAUAUUCGGAGGAACACCAGUGGCGAAGGCGGCUCACUGGCUCGAUACUGACGCUGAGGUGCGAAAGCGUGGGGAGCAAACAGGAUUAGAUACCCGUGUAGUCC